Molecule: long non-coding RNA, 544 nt
Organism: Rhodamnia argentea
Lineage: Eukaryota; Viridiplantae; Streptophyta; Magnoliopsida; Myrtales; Myrtaceae
Exons: 2
Source: RefSeq, a predicted model, not a curated record
CUAUUGAAGGACAAAACAUAUGAAAAUCGUAAUACUCCAAAAUCUUGCAUCAGAGCAUGAUAUCUUUACUGUUUUGUAGAUCUACUGGUGAGAAAAGAGUGCUUUUCAUUGAUUCGCCGUGGUGCUGCUUAAAUCAUUCCGAUGCUGCAAUGGCCUAAGGUGAUACUUCCGCUGUUCAUAUCGAUUAAUGUGAACCGGGUCAUUACUAGCACCGCUCAAAAUGGAGACUUUGAACACAGUAUCAUCCCUAUCGAUGAGCUCAAACAAGCAGACAGUCCCUACGCGCAGAUGAGUUUCUCUUGCGAAUGCACGCCAACCGGCGGAGAAGGCCAGAAUAGUAGUACCAGUGGCCUGUCUAUGGCUCCUAAGGAUCUUCACUGGCCACGAUCUGUCCAAAUACCGAAGAGUCGCUAUUUGUUUAUGCUCCUGAAGAUGUUGCUUGGAAAAUCCAACCGGAACACCCUGCAAAAGUACAUUUUUUGGACAGCCAAUACAGGAAAUCUGUUAAAAUGAACAUGAGAUAUGUGGGUGAUGAUUUAAGCUU